CAGUGGAUGCUGAGUUAGAAUUUAACAGCGUAAAACCACCGCCCGACACGAUCGAAGAGG
Molecule: small RNA, 60 nt
Filed under: bovine gut metagenome
Description: cow-rumen-1 RNA
Rfam family: cow-rumen-1 RNA
About the family: cow rumen metagenome.
Source: RNAcentral